Molecule: ribosomal RNA, 415 nt
Filed under: uncultured prokaryote
Description: bacterial SSU rRNA
Rfam family: Bacterial small subunit ribosomal RNA
Source: RNAcentral
GUGUCAGCAGCCGCGGUAAAACGUAGGAGGCGAACGUUAUCCGGAUUUACUGGGCGUAAAGAGCGCGAAGGCGGUCUUGCAAGUCGGGCGUGAAAUCUCCCGGCUCAACUGGGAGGGGUCGUUCGAUACUGCAGGACUUGAGGACGGGAGAGGGGAGUGGAAUUCCCGGUGUAGCGGUGGAAUGCGCAGAGAUCGGGAGGAACACCAGUGGCGAAGGCGGCUCCCUGGCCCGGUCCUGACGCUCAAGCGCGAAAGCGUGGGGAGCGAACGGGAUUAGAUACCCCGGUAGUCCACGCCGUAAACGAUGGGUGCUAGGUGUUGGUGGUGUCGAUCCCAUCGGUGCCGAAGCUAACGCGAUAAGCACCCCGCCUGGGGACUACGGCCGCAAGGCUGAAACUUAAAUGAAUUGACGGGG